GGACGAACGCUGACGGUGUGCUUUAGACAUGCAAGUCGAACGCGAAAGCCCUUCGGGGUUAGUAGAGUGGCGAACGGGUGAGUAACACGUGGGCAAUCUGCCCCUCGCAGGGGGACGAACCGGAGGAAACUCCGGCUAAUACCCCGUACGCUUGCGGAACCGCAUGGUACCGCAAGGAAAGGUAGCUUCGGCCAUCCGGCGAGGGAUGAGCCCGCGGUGCAUUAGCUAGUUGGUGGGGUAACGGCCCACCAAGGCGACGAUGCAUAGCUGGUCUGAGAGGAUGAUCAGCCACACUGGGACUGAGACACGGCCCAGACUCCUACGGGAGGCAGCAGUCGGGAAUCUUGCGCAAUGGGCGAAAGCCUGACGCAGCAACACCGUGUGAGCGACGAAGGCC
Molecule: ribosomal RNA, 397 nt
Filed under: uncultured bacterium
Lineage: Bacteria
Description: bacterial SSU rRNA
Rfam family: Bacterial small subunit ribosomal RNA
Source: RNAcentral